AACGAACGCUGGCGGCAUGCCUAACACAUGCAAGUCGAACGAGACCUUCGGGUCUAGUGGCGCACGGGUGCGUAACGCGUGGGAACCUGCCUUUAGGUUCGGAAUAACGCCUCGAAAGGGGUGCUAAUACCGAAUAAUGUCUUCGGACCAAAGAUUUAUCGCCUUUAGAUGGGCCCGCGUUGGAUUAGCUAGUUGGUGGG
This 200-nucleotide ribosomal RNA is filed under the name uncultured bacterium. RNAcentral's name for it is "partial 16S ribosomal RNA". It matches the Rfam family "Bacterial small subunit ribosomal RNA", at positions 29 to 256 of the family's 1533-position model. The record is from RNAcentral.